UGGUCCUAGCCUUGAAAUCAGCUAUUACUCAGCUUACACAUGCAAGUCUCCGCACCCCUGUGAGAACGCCCUUAUAUUCCCCUUAGGAAAAAGGAGCCGGUAUCAGGCGCUAACCACUAAGCCCAAGACACCUAGCUAUGCCACACCCACAAGGGUAGUCAGCAGUGAUUAACAUUGACCAUAAGCGAAAGCUUGACUCAGCCAGGGUAAACAGGGCCGGCAAAUCUGGUGCCAGCCGCCGCGGCCAUACCAGAGGCUCAAACUGAUUUCACUCGGCGUAAAGCGUGAUUAAAGUAACCCUAAACUGCAGUCAAACCAGAACUAGGUCGUGAUAAUCCUGAGCCUGGGAACCCCAAAAACGAAAGUAACUGCAACACAACCCACUUGACCUCACGACAGCUAAGAUACAAACUGGGAUUAGAUACCCCACUAUGCUUAGCCGUAAACUUUAACUUACACCCAAAUCGCCAGGGGACUACGAGCAACGCUUAAAACCCAAAGGACUUGACGGUGCCCCACAUCCACCUAGAGGAGCCUGUCCUGUAAUCGACAACCCCCGCUAAACCUCACCACUCCUUGCUUUACAGCCUGUAUACCUCCGUCGUCAGCUUACCACGUGAGCGACUCCCAGUAAGCGAAAAGGCCUCCACCAAAACGCCAGGUCAAGGUGCAGCUUAUGGAGUGGGAAGAGAUGGGCUACACUCUCUACCUUAGAGGACACGAAUGAUUUAACAUGAAACAUUAUCAGAAGGCGGAUUUAGAAGUAAAGAGGGACAAGAGUGCCCCCUUUAACAUGGCCCUGGGGUGUGUACACACCGCCCGUCACCCUCUUCGAAGCGACAAGAGCAGUAUUUAACAACAUUUAGCUACUAAGAAGAGACAAGUCGUAACAUGGUAAGCUUACCGGAAGGUGUGCUUGGAAA
Molecule: non-coding RNA, 923 nt
Filed under: Scinax sp. KAV10
Lineage: Eukaryota; Metazoa; Chordata; Amphibia; Anura; Hylidae
Description: partial 12S small subunit ribosomal RNA
Rfam family: Bacterial small subunit ribosomal RNA
Source: RNAcentral